AGCGAACGCUGGCGGCAGGCUUAACACAUGCAAGUCGAGCGGGCCCUUCGGGUCAGCGGCAGACGGGUGAGUAACACGUGGGAACGUGCCCUUCGGUUCGGAAUAACUCAGGGAAACUUGAGCUAAUACCGGAUACGCCCUUUUGGGGAAAGGUUUACUGCCGAAGGAUCGGCCCGCGUCUGAUUAGCUAGUUGGUGGGGUAAUGGCCUACCAAGGCGACGAUCAGUAGCUGGUCUGAGAGGANGAUCAGCCACACUGGGACUGAGACACGGCCCAGACUCCUACGGGAGGCAGCAGUGGGGAAUAUUGGACAAUGGGCGCAAGCCUGAUCCAGCCAUGCCGCGUGAGUGAUGAAGGCCUUAGGGUUGUAAAGCUCCUUCGACGGGGACGAUAAUGACGGUACCCGUAGAAGAAGCCCCGGCUAACUUCGUGCCAGCAG
This 439-nucleotide ribosomal RNA is filed under the name uncultured bacterium. RNAcentral's name for it is "bacterial SSU rRNA". It matches the Rfam family "Bacterial small subunit ribosomal RNA", at positions 29 to 514 of the family's 1533-position model. The record is from RNAcentral.